RNAcentral lists this ribosomal RNA (254 nucleotides) under uncultured bacterium. Its description in RNAcentral is "partial 16S ribosomal RNA". It matches the Rfam family "Bacterial small subunit ribosomal RNA", at positions 524 to 776 of the family's 1533-position model. The record is from RNAcentral.
UACGUAGGUGGCAAGCGUUGUCCGGAUUUAUUGGGUUUAAAGGGUGCGUAGGCGGCCCCGUAAGUCAGUGCUGAAAUAUCCCGGCUUAACCGGGAGGGUGGCAUUGAUACUGCGAGGCUUGAGUAAAGUUGAGGUAGGCGGAAUUGACGGUGUAGCGGUGGAAUGCGUAGAGAUCCGGAAGAACACCGGUGGCGAAGGCGGCCUGCUGGGCAGUUAGCUGACACUGAGGCGCGACAGCGUGGGGAGCAAACAGG